CCUACGGGUGGCUGCAGUGGGGAAUAUUGCACAAUGGGCGCAAGCCUGAUGCAGCCAUGCCGCGUGUGUGAAGAAGGCCUUCGGGUUGUAAAGCACUUUCAGCGGGGAGGAAGGCGGUGAGGUUAAUAACCUCAUCGAUUGACGUUACCCGCAGAAGAAGCACCGGCUAACUCCGUGCCAGCAGCCGCGGUAAUACGGAGGGUGCACGCGUUAAUCGGAAUUACUGGGCGUAAAGCGCACGCAGGCGGUCUGUCAAGUCGGAUGUGAAAUCCCCGGGCUCAACCUGGGAACUGCAUUCGAAACUGGCAGGCUAGAGUCUUGUAGAGGGGGGUAGAAUUCCAGGUGUAGCGGUGAAAUGCGUAGAGAUCUGGAGGAAUACCGGUGGCGAAGGCGGCCCCCUGGACAAAGACUGACGCUCAGGUGCGAAAGCGUGGGGAGCAAACAGGAUUAGAUACCCGUGUAGUC
Molecule: ribosomal RNA, 465 nt
Filed under: uncultured Klebsiella sp.
Lineage: Bacteria; Pseudomonadati; Pseudomonadota; Gammaproteobacteria; Enterobacterales; Enterobacteriaceae
Description: bacterial SSU rRNA
Rfam family: Bacterial small subunit ribosomal RNA
Source: RNAcentral